AGGGGAGCAUGACGCAGGGAGGAGGGAAGGGACAAAAGAGAGGCCGGGAGGCGGCGGGCGGCCGGCGCGCCCACUGCUCCCUCCCUCCUCCCUGGCCAGUCCCCGUCCUCUGGCGGCGGCUUUCCCUCGGUCCCCUCCGCCUCUCCUCCUUCCCUUCUCCGGCCUCCUCCCUCUUCUCGCCAGCCUCCCUCCUGGCCCUGCGCGAUCUCUCGCGCCUCUCCCUCCGCUCGUGUCAUUGUGUCAUUCUUUCUCUCCUCCUCGCUCGGGUCUCGGUACGUCUGUCCUUCCACUGCCGGCGUGUCUUCGUCCUCCGCGCUGGGGCUACGGGUCUUCGCGUCUUACUCUCCCUCUCUGCCGGUCCCCCUCCCGCUAUGUCCCCUGGCUGCUCCCGGGGCUCCAUCCUCCCCUUCUCCGGCCUCCUCCUUCCCGCUCUCCUCUCCCCUACACCUUCCCCAGGCAGGGUCUGCAGUUCCCGCUCCCUCUGCUCGCCCAGCCUCCCUCCCCUCGCUGAGGUUCGGCACCCCCGCCCCCCACUGGGGACGCGAAGGUGAAUCAGACCCAAACGUGCCCUUGCAGCGGGAGCUCACGGUGUGAUGGGAGAGACAGACCCAGCCGCAGACAGUCCCAUUCCGGGGUGAUGGGGUGUGACCGAGGGCAAGACCAGAGGCUGAGAGAGCCGGGGCGGAAGGAAUCCUCGCCGCAGGUCCACCAGGGAGGACCUCCAGAGAAGGCGUGGUUGUGGCGUGACCUCCGAGAACCAGAAGUUAGACCUGAAUUGUUGAGAGGGGCAGCAGUAAGGGCGUUCCAGGCCCAGGGCACAGCUUAAGCAAAGGCCCAAAGGCAGGAAACCAAGGUGAUUCCGGAGGACAACAAAGCAGUCAAGUCUGACUAGAGCGGUAGGGGCCGGGAGCCAAGGAGCGUAGAAGAAGCUGGGGUGUGGCUCAGAGCAGGGUCUCGGGAAAAUGUUAAGUGAAUGAAUCGGUGGAUGGGUUGUGCUGGGACUUUGCUGAAGUCCCUGGGAUAAGAGAACAUCAUUCCCAUUAUCUCCUGAAACGUGAGGCCUCCAUUCCUCAGUUGGCAUCCACCGUGAGUCUGGUAAUGUAUUCCCAGUGAUGAGGGCAUCGACUGUGAUUGAAGACACAGAAGAGACAUUGGAGAGAAGACCACGUGAAGACAGACUGGAGCAAGGUGUCUACAUGCCACGGAGCAGAAAGGAUUCCUACCAGCCUCCUUGAUUUCCAAAUCCCAUUCUCCACAACUUGAUGACGAAGCAAGAAGGCCCUGGCCAGAUGUUGGCACCUUGCUAUUGGGCUUCCCAGACUCCAGAACUGUGAGAAACAAACUAUUAUUAUUAUUAUUAUUUUACAAAAUAAAUGGCCCAGUCUGUGAUAUUCUGUUUAGUAGCACAAAAUGGACUAAGACUGUUAGCUUUUCUCUUGUUUGCGUACUAAGUUAGGUGGUUUGUUAGGGAACUCAAAGUGCAGCCAGCCUUGGGCACAUGGCCUCCUGCGUGUUUUGACUCAGUAGACCCAUCACUGGAUGUGUGCUGAGCCGGAAGGGGCUGUGACCUCCGUCUGGUAGCUCCCUUGCUCCGAAGGGGGGUCUUUGUGAGGGAGGACUCAACUGCAGGCUCCCAGUCACCAAUACUCCCAGCAACUACAUGGACAGUACUCAUGUCCAGAGCAGGCAGUCUACCCUCUAUGCCAUGUCUUUGACACCCAGGAACAAUGAACAACUUCCACAUAAUCAAACAACUCAUGAAAUAAAACAGUGUGGUGUGUGUGUGUAGGUAUACACUGAUACAUCAAUAUCGAUAUCAAUAAUAAGGGUGACUCAAUUAGAUACUAUAAUUAGGAAGAAUAUUUUCUCCUCUUGGAACCAACAUGUGGAUAUAGAAACUGUAAAUGAUAACACAAGGCAGAACAGUAAAGACUAGAGAAGACAGAAACCCAGACCUCGUGUUUGCGCUAGGCAGUCUUUGUACCAUGGUUUGGUAUUCCCGCUUUCAUAUUACUAAAGGAAAUAAUCUUUAAUAACUGUAUUUGAUAUUUUAGUCAUUUAAUUCCUUUUGGGAUGUACAUCUUUUAAGAAAAGGUGUUAUUUGAAAGUUCUUUAUGUAUGUGAAGAUGAAUUUUAAAAAGAUGGAUGACUUUGUUGGCUGAAAUUUCUUGAAGUGGAAGUAAAACCCUCUAAUAUCAUGUACAGCAACUUCUAUGAAAAAUCAUCUUUGAUCCAGACAUUGUAACGAAUACAGAGAGCAUAAAAGAAACAGGAAAGUUUGGGGAAUGAGGUGCCUCAAACGCAUUUUGUUCUCACUAAUCAAACUUCAAAACAACAGAUUUUUAAAAGAAUACUUUUAAAACUACAUUCUUUAUAGUUUUGAGUCCAUUGAAGCUAAACCUUUAAUCGAAACUGUCAAGUUUGCUGCAUACUACUGACCACCGUUUUCAGAAGUAGAAGAUGAGGAAUUUUCAAAAUUUGCAUGAGCUAUGAUUCUUAAACAUUCUUUCUGGAAAACAUGUUUUAAAAAAUUAUUCUUUCUGGAAAACGUGUUUUGAAAAAGUGUUAUUUAUAUUAUACAUAGAAUUACUGUAUGUACUGCCUCAGGAUCUUGUAUGUGAAACAUUUGGGUAUUAAACAAUGAGGUGCCUUUUUAGUUGAUUUA
Molecule: non-coding RNA, 2665 nt
Organism: Ictidomys tridecemlineatus (thirteen-lined ground squirrel)
Lineage: Eukaryota; Metazoa; Chordata; Mammalia; Rodentia; Sciuridae
Source: RefSeq, a predicted model, not a curated record